Molecule: long non-coding RNA, 1095 nt
Organism: Gasterosteus aculeatus aculeatus (three-spined stickleback)
Lineage: Eukaryota; Metazoa; Chordata; Actinopteri; Perciformes; Gasterosteidae
Source: Ensembl
GAGACGUGCUCUGCACACUAAUGGUGGUCCGGACGAAUGCAUAGAUUAAGCUUCCAGCAUGUUGUCUCUUAAUAUUUCUUUCUCCAGCUAGGAUCCAAAUUGGCAUUCUCAUUAGAGUGAGUCUGAAGUUGGAACGCGGCGGGCGGGGAUGCAUCGCCGACCUGGUGUGUCAGGAGCAAUGUCCCGCUGUUCCUCUCUGAACUCCCACUGUCUGGGGGGACAAUUAGAACCUAAUUUACACAAGUCAAACAAAAUAAGUCCAAACCGUUGGACCCGGCCUCACCGAGCGUGGUGGAUUAGAACUGUAGGAAAAAGGCCUGCUCUCCAAUACCAAGAAGAGGGUGCGAGCCGCAUGUGUGCGCAGCAGGGGGACGAGGACUCUGCUGGAAAGCGGAGCGCCGGAAGGAACAGCACGUUGUUACUAUGGAGGGGGGGGACCUCCUGGACAGCACACACAAAGAUGAGUUCACAGGAAAAAAAUGAUACACGUCCGAUCAAAUCUUUAUUGUGCACGUUUUCAAGGACGGGUGGUAGGACUGAAUCCAGCCUGCCGCGGUCGGUACCUGGAGGCAGGGCGGUUGAAAGAGAUGAUUCUGACUUCCUGAAGUAAUUGGAGUCAACCCCGCUGUCCAACAUAGAAAAAGAGAGCGUGCGGUCAUUUUCUCGAAGCGGCAUCUAUUGCGAGCCAGACCGAAUGCGCCUGCUUCAAGGUCACCCCCACACCUCGCUCUCCACUUUCAGCACCUACGGUGCUCAAGCCGGAAUGAUCUGUCCAAGAUUACAGAUCUGUCAUUAGUGGCAUUAGUCAAAUCCCAUUUGUGAUGGAUGCUCUCCAGAGCUGGAAGUGCGGCUGCCUUUUUUCAAGGUGAGAAACAUAUUUAGCAGUCAUUUGGAAAAUAGAUAGACAUUUUGUGGACAUUUUAUAGUGCACUGCAGAUUAUUGGAUUGAAAAUGAAUCAUUUUAACCGCGUCUUUAACAAUGCACCUGUGCCAGGUAUUACUGCUUUGGCGGAGCGCUCUAGCUGGCCCGCCGCUCCUCUAUCCCUCUUGGACGUGUGCCAGGCUCCUUGGCACAGUAGAUUGGUUGAAUUAUAG